GCUCCCUGUGAGGAAAGACCCAAAUGCAUGUUUCUGUGGUGUACUCACAACAAAACAAUUAAAAUUGAAAGCUUGUUUUACUGUUGUCUUUUUCUAAUGUGUGAGUGAACUGUAAUGCAGCCAACCAAUAUUCUGUUCACACUGUGUCAGAGCAACAGGUUAGAAAGCAGCUUUUAGCUUUAUGCAGGAGGUUGAGCUCAGCAAUCUUUAUUUAAACAGCUUUGUUCAAUGGGGACAAAGGAUUGUGUUUUGGCAUUUUAAUUUAAUCUUGAUAAUCUUCCUUUUUUCUCUCUCUCUCUCAAAGGAUCAAGAGGAAAUGCAGUAAUUUUCAACUUCACACGAAGGCUAGUUGUACAAACACAGCUGAAAACCUCAGGAAACACAUGCAUUUUCCUCAGAGAAAUGGAGUCAAGUAAUGUUCUGCUGGCAAUAGACUCCUGGAUAAUUGGGAAGAUGUUAGGCACAGCAGUUUGGGCAGCAGGGUGUUGACACUGAUAGCACUGUUCAGUUUGGCUGUCUUAGGUGAAUGACUCCUGUAAUGUAGAAAGCAGAAAUUAUUAACCAUAGUACAGGAAAUAAUUGAAAGAACACAGGCUGCUUUGGAGAAUUAAGGAAUGGCUCUUAGAUUGCGAAAGGAUACUUUGUAAAUUUGUUUAAUUUACACCUUACCAAGAUCUAAUUAAAUCAUGGCAGCAACUUUUGAUUUUUUCCUCUUUGCUUUUCAUUUGAGUUUAUUUCUUAGACAUAUUUAAAACACAGGAGAAUAAGGAGAGUUCUCUUGACACUUAAGACUUUGCUUGCAUUUCUGUCCUUGUUCAUUCUAUAUGUAUCCAGAGUUUCUAAGAGUUUCAGGUCAGGACUUUGGUUCUCUUUCUUAAUUAAGGAUUUAAUUGUUAUACUUGAAUUCUUCUCAUUCCACCUUUUUGCAGGAGGCUUAUUCUAUUUUACUUAGCUACUUUUAGCCCUAUUUAAGUGUUAAUAAGUGAAGUCCCUUUUGAGAGGAUAAGAGUCUAAUUUAUUAAUAAGAGAGCAUUUUGGGAUUUUCUGCUUGCAUUUUCUUUUAACUCUCUUGUACUUUCCAAAUCUCGAAAGGCCAUAGCUCCAAAGAAGUCAAUUCUAAAUAAGUCCUGACCAUAGUUAUGGUAUUGUCCUCCCUUGAAGAAUGAGAGACCAACCAUUUGUGAGUGUUUACAGCUGGACCUUCUGAAGGGCAUCAUCUUUCCUUAAUGGCAAAAUGCAUCAGAAUCACAAGCUGUGACAGAAGUGCCUGAGGGUUCCCAUUGCAGUGGUAAAGUGGAAUAUCUGAUGAAAUUUGCUUGUGAAAUGCAAGGCUGCCUUUUUUGUCAUGGAGGUUACUGAGAGAGAACUCUGAAGUCUUGCACUUUUUGUAUUGAGUAGCAAACUCUCAAAGUGCAAAAAGCUACCCUGGAGUGAUGAGGUUGUUCAUGUGUGGGCUAAAACAUCCUUGUGAGGCCACCUCAUUGUCUUAUGCUCUAAUUCUGGAAGUCCUAAUAUUUCCCAAGUUCACAAGUUGGGUGAACAUUUGCUUUAAGCUAUUGUGUUGAUCCCUAGGAACAGCAGAGGGGGGUGCCCCCUUGGAUCUCCAUUAUUGAUUGAAGCACUCUCCCUCACUGUACCUCAGUGAAGUGUAGCCAAGAACAACAAGAUAAGAAUUAAUGUAAGUGACAAGGGAGUUCCUCUGACUCUGCCAGUGCACAUUAGCCUGGCUGAAGAGAAAAAGAAGCUGAUACUUGAGUCUUUUGAGUUGUGAAGGGUCUGGUCAGUCCUUGAAGGGGAAGCACAUGAAUGGCCCAGUUGUCAUCGCAUUUUAUUUUUCCUCCAGCUUUGACUAAUGGUGCAUUUCCUCUGGCCUCCCACGGGCCAUCCGUGGCUGACUUGCUUUGUCACUCUUCACAUGGAGUUGCUGCCUUUACUGUCCACGCUGUUCCCAUGGCGGGAACCCGGUGUCCUCUAAAGAAACGCACAGGCACAAACCAUCUGUCAUUCUUCCACUCCUCUUUCAAGCCACCACUUCCCAUAUUGUGUGGCCUUGCAGGCUGAAAGCAAUCUGCCUCCCCCUGCAUGCCUGGAGUACAUGCCAUCUCUCACUCCACUUGAUAAGGGACCUCCCGACACUCUGCCUGUAAAAAUACUAAUGGGCAUCUCCCAGUUGAUAACCAGCUCUGCCUUUUUAUUGUGCUCAUGGGAUGAUAAGUUGUCUGGAUCAACAAGGCAUUGUCCCUUUUUCAGGCAAAGUUAUUAGGGUCAAAUUAGGUGUGAAUUGUGAAACUAAUCAUUGCAACCACAAAUAAUUUGUAGUGUGCUAUGGAAAAAGGAGAAUAAAAGAGACAGUAGAAGAGGAAAUUAUUGGAGGGCACAAAGAAACAAAGUGAUUGGGAAGAAGGGAGGAGAGAUUGGCUAACAGUGCUGUACAGGAUCUUGAGCUAGGCCUGUAGGCUGUGCUGGAUUUGGUCUCAUGCACCUGUGGACUGUGAAGAACCUUGUUCUAUUAUUUCAAUGUCAUUUGAGAGUCUGAAUUAAUUCACACGCAAGAUGUCUUAGAGAGAGGAAGAUACCUGACUUUGCACAAGAAACACUGCUUUUAUGCUUAUGUAAGUUGAUUAUAUUGCUUACACAUCUCCAGUUAAUUUGAAUCACGUGAAUCUAGUCUCUGCUGGAAAAUAAUAAUGCAACAUCUACUGAAAAGCCUCAAUUUUAUUUUCUGGGGUGAGAGGCCUGAGUUUUGUGCUGAAAAUACAAAUCUGAAGGUGUGCUGAAUUUGCUUGGAAGUGCUGCAAAGCUAUUCUCAUUUCCUGUAACUCUUGCAAGGUUGGCCCUUUUCCAUGGCUAAGCCCCAAUUCUUAGACAAUCAGAAUGAAGUGGCAGGAGAAAUUUACCCUCUUUCAUCUUCUAGUAUAUCUAGGAAAGCAAGAACCAAGGCUUUAAACCAUUAAUUCCUAAUUCUGUGACUUGAUUUGCUGCAGUAGAAAGUGUAUUUUAAGGGUUUGGUCUUCUCUUACCAAAGCUAAUUAUUAAUUGCAUCUUCUUUUAUCCAGCCACUGCCACAAGGAAUGACUGCCCUCUGUGCUGAUGACAGAUCUGCCCCUCUGCUAUCAGACACUGUGCUUUUGCCAUCUCAGUUUCCUGAGGAUUGCCUCUGCCUGGGAGCCAGUGGAGCAGCCGUGUUGGAGGCAAAGCAGUUCUCUGAGGAAGAUGAUGAUGGAUGACAGAGUGAUUCCCUUCCACGUGGCUGGGGCACUGAGGCUUCUGCUGAGUUCUGAGUUUGAUGCACUGGAAGGAGCACCUGAGGUCAACUUCGGCUGCUCAAGUGCAGGUGAUGAAACCAUCCAGACAAGAGAGUUCCAAAGAAACAUCUGGGAAGAUUCUUCAGCAGUGCUGGCAGACAUUUUACUCAGUGGAGUAAAUCUCUUCCUGGGAACUGAUGGCUCUUAAUCCAAGGAUGGACUGAUUUUUUUCCUUCUGGAUACUGGUGAUGUGGAAGAGAAGUCUGCAGCUUUGUCUGCUGCAUGCUGAUUGACUGAGAGACAACCAUGGCAUGUGUUAGCAGAUGUUCCUUGACAGGUUAAUGGGGUACAUGGACAGGAGACUUCUGCUUUAUCCCCUGCAGCCCUGACAAUUUGGGGUGUUGCCUGGCUCAGCUCCUAGACAUGACACGAAGGAAUAACUUGCACUUCUCCUCAGUGAUUUCCUGAUGCUACUGGUGGAUUACAGAUGUGAUUCACUCCAAAAGGUACUGCUGAGUGCCCCCAGGUACCUGAUCUGCCAAGCAAAGCUGGUAGCAUCAGGUCCAUGAGAAUUCCCUCUCCUGAGGAGAGGCCAGUGCCAGCUCUGACAUCGAACAGUGCAGAGUUUUGUUAGAAGCCAACUGAAAACAUGGUGCUGUUACUAUCUGACACCAGCUGAAACAAAAGCCAAACGUUGAUGAAUGUCUGAUUCUAAAAGUAAACAGUUUGAUUUUUUUUUUUUCUUUGCAAGUCAGGGGCCCUCUAGGGUUUUAUCUGAUUUUGGCAAUCUCCUGCACAUUUUGGGGCCUGGAGCAUGGUUUUAAUUGUUACAUCACAAAAGUUGCCAAAUAAUGUUGGAUGCUACUUAAAAACUCUCUCAAUUUUAUGGAACUUCUCAACGGCUUGACUAAUACAAUAAUUACUGGAACUCGGCUAUGUUGCCUAGUGGCAAAUGGAAUUUUUUCAUAAUGAUCCUGUCUGUCGUUAAGAGCAGGAUUUGUUCUUUCUCUCAGUGGGAGAGAGGCCAGAAAGCCAUGGUAUCUGUCUUUUUUAAUGACAGCCAACAGCAAACGGAUAAAAUAAUCAAUUAUAUCCACAGAUAGGUAGAUAAAGUAUAAUUUAUCAUGUCAAAAACAAAAAUGUUUUUAAUUGGGCUGUUAAUCAUUUUGUAAUUUUAACUAAAGAGAUGGGGACUCUGCUUUGUGCUCAGACAUCACUAAUAUUUCAUACAUUUUCUGAUCUUAUUAUAGCUUUAAUAAUAGUGUUUACCAUUAAGUGCCAAAAUAUAAAAUACAAUUUCUACUCUCAUUAGCUGGAGCCUUUGCAGUUAAAAAGAUGCCCUUCCCUUUUAUUUUUCUUCCUCUAGAAAGAUCCAAGAGACAAAAAGGGGGGGCCAGUGUACUAACCAGCUGUAACAGUUUCUAAAAAUACGGUCAUCUUUUUGUUUGAUUAGAAAUACCCAUACUUCAACCAACAAACAUGUUACAGAAACGUGGUUUGUUUUUCGUUUUUUUUUUCCAGCAAAGCACAUAAAGAGAUUAGUAUAACAGCAGAAAUUGGAAGCUUGGAGUUUUGAUUUCUAGCCACACCUGUGUUGUCUUGUGGGAAGCUGGGCAGAUAAUUUAAUCCCUUCUAACUUGUUCUCUGUGUCUCUAAUGUAGGUAUUAGAAAGCUGCAUCAUCAGUCUGCUGUAGAGUAUCUAGUGU
Oenanthe melanoleuca is the source of this 4951-nucleotide long non-coding RNA. RefSeq lists it as uncharacterized. Lineage: Eukaryota; Metazoa; Chordata; Aves; Passeriformes; Muscicapidae. The transcript has 4 exons. The record is from RefSeq and is a predicted model, not a curated record.